UGGGGAAUUUUGCACAAUGGGGGAAACCCUGAUGCAGCGACGCCGCGUGAUUUAGAAGGCCUUCGGGUUGUAAAAAUCUUUUCUAUGGGAAGAAAAUGACAGUACCAUAGGAAUAAGGACCGGCUAAUUACGUGCCAGCAGCCGCGGUAAUACGUAAGGUCCGAGCGUUGUCCGGAAUCAUUGGGCGUAAAGGGUACGUAGGCGGGUAAGCAAGUUAGAAGUGAAAUCCUGUAGCUCAACUACAGUAAGCUUUUAAAACUGCUCAUCUUGAGAUAUGGAAGGGAAAGUGGAAUUCAUAGUGUAGCGGUGAAAUGCGCAGAUAUUAGGAGGAAUACCGGUGGCGAAGGCGACUUUCUGGCCAUAAUCUGACGCUGAGGUACGAAAGCGUGGGUAGCAAACAG
This 401-nucleotide ribosomal RNA is filed under the name Verrucomicrobiota bacterium. RNAcentral's name for it is "Verrucomicrobia bacterium partial 16S ribosomal RNA". It matches the Rfam family "Bacterial small subunit ribosomal RNA", at positions 355 to 775 of the family's 1533-position model. The record is from RNAcentral. Lineage: Bacteria; Pseudomonadati; Verrucomicrobiota.